UCCAGACUCCUACGGGAGGCAGCAGUGAGGAAUAUUGGUCAAUGGGCGGGAGCCUGAACCAGCCAAGCCGCGUGAGGGAAGAAGGUACAGCGUAUCGUAAACCUCUUUUGUCAGGGAACAAAGGCGGGGACUAGUCCCCGGAUGAGGGUACCUGAAGAAAAAGCAUCGGCUAACUCCGUGCCAGCAGCCGCGGUAAUACGGAGGAUGCGAGCGUUAUCCGGAUUUAUUGGGUUUAAAGGGUGCGUAGGCGGCUCUUUAAGUCAGUGGUAAAGUGGGGGGCCUCACCCCCUUCCCGCCAUUGAAACUGGCGCUCUUGAGUGGAAGAGAAGUAUGCGGAAUGCGUGGUGUAGCGGUGAAAUGCAUAGAUAUCACGCAGAACCCCGAUUGCGAAGGCAGCAUGCCGGCUUCCGACUGACGCUGAAGCACGAAAGCGUGGGGAUCGAACAGGAUUAGAUACCCUCGUAU
Molecule: ribosomal RNA, 465 nt
Filed under: uncultured bacterium
Lineage: Bacteria
Description: partial 16S ribosomal RNA
Rfam family: Bacterial small subunit ribosomal RNA
Source: RNAcentral